CCUGAUGACAGGGCUGCGUAUCU
RNAcentral lists this non-coding RNA (23 nucleotides) under Arabidopsis thaliana (thale cress). The record is from RNAcentral. Lineage: Eukaryota; Viridiplantae; Streptophyta; Magnoliopsida; Brassicales; Brassicaceae.